RNAcentral lists this ribosomal RNA (453 nucleotides) under uncultured bacterium. Its description in RNAcentral is "bacterial SSU rRNA". It matches the Rfam family "Bacterial small subunit ribosomal RNA", at positions 340 to 786 of the family's 1533-position model. The record is from RNAcentral.
UACGGGAGGCAGCAGUGGGGAAUAUUGCACAAUGGGCGCAAGCCUGAUGCAGCCAUGCCGCGUGUAUGAAGAAGGCCUUCGGGUUGUAAAGUACUUUCAGUCGUGAGGAAGGUGUUAAGGUUAAUAACCUUAGCAAUUGACGUUAGCGACAGAAGAAGCACCGGCUAGCUCCGUGCCAGCAGCCGCGGUAAUACGGAGGGUGCGAGCGUUAAUCGGAAUUACUGGGCGUAAAGGGCACGCAGGCGGUUAAUUAAGUUGGAUGUGAAAUCCCCGGGCUUAACCUGGGAAUGGCAUUCAAGACUGGUUAGCUAGAGUCUUGUAGAGGGGGUAGAAUUCCAUGUGUAGCGGUGAAAUGCGUAGAGAUGUGGAGGAAUACCGGUGGCGAAGGCGGCCCCUGGACAAAGACUGACGCUCAUGUGCGAAAGCGUGGGGAGCGAAACAGGAUUAGAUACC